RNAcentral lists this ribosomal RNA (253 nucleotides) under uncultured bacterium. RNAcentral's name for it is "partial 16S ribosomal RNA". It matches the Rfam family "Bacterial small subunit ribosomal RNA", at positions 524 to 776 of the family's 1533-position model. The record is from RNAcentral.
UACGUAGGGGGCAAGCGUUAUCCGGAUUUACUGGGUGUAAAGGGAGCGUAGACGGCAGCGCAAGUCUGGAGUGAAAUGCCGGGGCCCAACCCCGGAACUGCUUUGGAAACUGUGCAGCUCGAGUGCAGGAGAGGUAAGCGGAAUUCCUAGUAUAGCGGUGAAAUGCGUAGAUAUUAGGAGGAACACCAGUGGCGAAGGCGGCUUACUGGACUGUAACUGACGUUGAGGCUCGAAAGCGUGGGGAGCAAACAGG